CUCGGGGUUACAGCCUUGCUGAAUUAUUCACCCUUGUCUUUUGCGUACUUCUUGUUUCCUUGGUGGGUUCGCCCACCACUAGGACAAACAUAAACCUUUUGUAAUUGCAAUCAGCGUCAGUAACAAAUUAAUAAUUACAACUUUCAACAACGGAUCUCUUGGUUCUGGCAUCGAUGAAGAACGCAGCGAAAUGCGAUAAGUAGUGUGAAUUGCAGAAUUCAGUGAAUCAUCGAAUCUUUGAACGCACAUUGCGCCCUUUGGUAUUCCAAAGGGCAUGCCUGUUCGAGCGUCAUUUGUACCCUCAAGCUUUGCUUGGUGUUGGGCGUCUUGUCUCUAGCUUUGCUGGAGACUCGCCUUAAAGUAAUUGGCAGCCGGCCUACUGGUUUCGGAGCGCAGCACAAGUCGCACUCUCUAUCAGCCAAGGUCUAGCAUCCAUUAAGCCUUUUUUCAACUUUUGACCUCGGAUCAGGUAGGGAUACCCGCUGAACUUAAGCAUAUCAUA
RNAcentral lists this ribosomal RNA (502 nucleotides) under Alternaria alternata. RNAcentral's name for it is "eukaryotic LSU rRNA". The stretch from base 139 to 292 matches the Rfam family "5.8S ribosomal RNA". Lineage: Eukaryota; Fungi; Ascomycota; Dothideomycetes; Pleosporales; Pleosporaceae. The record is from RNAcentral.